ACCUGGCUGGCUCAGUCAGUGGAGCAUGUGACUCUUGAUCUCAAAGAUGUGAGUUCGAGGCUCACUUGGGUG
This 72-nucleotide transfer RNA is filed under the name Felis catus (domestic cat). It matches the Rfam family "tRNA". Rfam says of the family: Transfer RNA (tRNA) molecules are approximately 80 nucleotides in length. Their secondary structure includes four short double-helical elements and three loops (D, anti-codon, and T loops). Further hydrogen bonds mediate the characteristic L-shaped molecular structure. tRNAs have two regions of fundamental functional importance: the anti-codon, which is responsible for specific mRNA codon recognition, and the 3' end, to which the tRNAs corresponding amino acid is attached (by aminoacyl-tRNA synthetases). tRNAs cope with the degeneracy of the genetic code in two manners: having more than one tRNA (with a specific anti-codon) for a particular amino acid; and 'wobble' base-pairing, i.e. permitting non-standard base-pairing at the 3rd anti-codon position. Lineage: Eukaryota; Metazoa; Chordata; Mammalia; Carnivora; Felidae. The record is from Rfam by way of RNAcentral.